This 3177-nucleotide long non-coding RNA is filed under the name Sus scrofa (pig). RNAcentral's name for it is "lncRNA (ENSSSCG00005025913.1)". The record is from RNAcentral. Lineage: Eukaryota; Metazoa; Chordata; Mammalia; Artiodactyla; Suidae.
AACUAAACUGGGAGCUUUAUUUUCAGAUACAGAUACAAAUGUGGAUGUAUUUCAAAAAAUUAAAUUACAAAUAAGCAACAAUCCAUAUCUUCAGAACAUGUUUAAUAAUGGCCAGUAUAAGCACAAAAUGCAUUUUCUUUGUUAUCUCUUUCCCAUUAAUAUUGAUAUGAUUGAACAAAGAGGGGGUUUUCUUUUUAUUUUUCUUCUGCAUUAUCAAUUCUUUAAGAAGCUGUGAGAGCUGGACUGUAUUUUCUUUAGCCUCUGAAUGCCAGCUAGCACGCAGGGGGCAGUUAAAUAAUAAAUAGUAACAAAUACUGGCUUUAUUGACUCUUGAACCCUUGAAUCAAUCAAUUAAUCAUGAUAUUAUGGCAAGAUCAAAGGGAUAAAUUCUAAAACUNNNNNNNNNNNNNNNNNNNNNNNNNNNNNNNNNNNNNGGAAUAAUUGCAAACCAUUUUGAUCAAAUAUGAAAUGAUGAUCAGUUAUGCUCUUUAGGGCCCAGUAACUUAGGUUUAUUUAAGUACCAUAAUAAAGUACAUCCCUCCAGGAUCUAAUGAUCUCCUAAACUUCGCUUUAGGAGAAAGCAUUGUAGCCUAAACACCCUAAAGACUGAAGCCAAUUCAAAGUGGUGAGUUCCAUCCAUAUUUUAAAGGAUAAUUUCUCUGAAAAACAUCCCCUGGUAAUGUAUGUUUGGGGUUUUUUUUUUUUUCAUUAAGUCUUAACAAUUUGCUCAGUUUCUGUUGUUUGUAUCAAAAAUAUCUUUCCUUUUCCCAGCCCCCAAUUAUUGGUUAGGUACCAAAGCAAGAUAUUUUAUGUGAACAUUUCAAUCUUAUGUAACAUUUCAAUCCAUAAGAAACAAAGUAGAUGGUACUAAGAAAAAAAAGUGAGUCACCAGGCAGAGAAAGAAGCCCCAGGUCAGGACUUGCAAUAUACAGUAAUAAGACUCGGCCACAAUAACAUACACAAAGGUCUCCUGCAUGGCUAUGGACUCCAGAAUAAUAACUGCUGUAUAUUUAUGCUGGCUGCUAUGGCUCUGUUUUCUGGGUUCACCCACUCACCCCUUGAGGAAAGUACUAGAUGUGUUGUCCUUAUACAGGGGAGAUCUCUCUGAGUCCAGAGCACCCUCCAGUGUGUUGCCGGUGGAUGUGGUCUUUCCAAUAGCCUGCUCAGAACACAAGCAGCAGCCCUAGAAAGAGAGUUUCUUUUGGAUAAUUGAGAUGCUGCCUUCAGGAAACCUAUUGUCUCUAUGAUCCUGGGAUUGCCUAGUUAGAAAUAAGGACAUCUCGGGAGGCAUACAUUCAAGGUCUCAGAAAGUUAAAAUGCAGGGUGGAGAUUUGGGUGAUGUGUUCUGGGGUCUUUCUUUUCUAAGGGCCAGAUUGAAUUGGUUUACUAAGCAACAAACAUUUGCUGAACAUCUACUGUGUGUUAGUGUGGAUUCCAGUAGGAAUAGGAUUUGAUCACUGUACUUAGGAAUUUAUUGAACUGUCUCUUAGAGUCAAGUGGUAUUUUCACAUCCAUUAUCUCCUUUAAUCAACUGAGCCAUUCUCUGAAGCAUCUACUAAAGUCUAAGAUAAGGACAGUACAGCCCAGAGAGUUGAUAUAGUUUCCUUAAGGUUCGUUAGUUAGUGUCAAAACAUGGACUUCACAGAGUUCUUUGGUCUGGUGCUUUUUCGUUUACACUAUAGCAUGUAUUUGCCCUUUGAGUCUUGGUUUCUUUUUCCCCAAUUUAAGGCAGAGAGACUGUUUUGUCAAUUUUUCUCCUUUCUGCCUGUAAACAUUCUAUGUUUUUAUGCAAACCUGUAUUUAGAUACAAGGAAUUAGAUGGGACUUUAAUUUCACUGCACAUCACUCCUCUCAAACAUCAUGGGGCUUCAGUAUAAAUUCACUGGUACAAUGUCUUCCCAAUCCUGGGCUUCCUCAAGUCUGCUGGUAAUUUUAUCCCUGAGAGCUUCUUGGUAUUGGGCUCCCAUGAACUGCCAGAAGAGUUUGUAGAGGUUGGUCUGAUUCUGAAGACACUUCUUCCCAUCCUUUUAUAGUCUGCCCCUUCCCCAGAUCACAAUGUUUGGGUGGUUAGUUGAAAGUGUUUGCUAGGGAUCCCCAAGCCCUUCUCUUCCUAAGCCAUCUGAAUCACAGCUCUCUUCCUUGUGGGUUUCUCAUAAACAAGCCCAAGAUGCUGGGAGAACAGCAUCUCAGGAUGAACACCAUCUAACCUCUUGUUAUAGGCUGAAUUGUGUUCUUUCAAAAUUUUUUCUGUUGAAGGCUGACUCCCCAGUACCUUAGAAUGGGACCGUAUUUGGAAAUAGGGCUUAGUGCAAUUGUAAUUAGUUAAGUUAGGAUGAGGUCGUACUGCAGAAGUUUGGGUCCCUAAUCCAAUAUGAUGGUUCCCUUACAAAAGGGGGAAAUGUGGACAUUGAAGUGAAGAUGAAGGCAGAAAUCAGGGUAAGGCAGCAGAAGCCAGUGAAUACCAAAGAUGGCCAGCAAACAUGAGAGGCUAGGGGAGAGGCAUGGAGCAGAUUCUCCCUUAUGGCCUCAGAAAGAACUUUGAUUUUAGACACUUAGCUUUCAGAACUGUGAGACAAUACAUUUCUGCUUGUUAACCUAUCCAGUCUGUGAUACUUUGUUAUGGCAGCCCCAGUAAAGUAAUAUACCCCUUGUAUCAUAGAACUGGCUUGGCCAGAAAGCACUUUGCUUGGCUCAGGAUGUUAUUGCCCUUAAUUCUCACCAUUAAUAGAAGAAUGCCCAUUCAUACCUUUCUCCAUGGGCGGUCUUCCUCAAGUGACCAAAUAGUUGUCCGAAGCCUUAUGCAAAUGGCCCGGAGCACUGGCUCUCACUUCCUCUCAUCUGUCAUCCUGAGACCUGCACAUAAUUCUCUAAGGCCUUUCUGUUAUAUUUGGACCCCAUAGGCCUUUGACUACUGGAAUACGCAGUGAUGAUUAUGUAAUUCUCAGUGUGCUUCUCAAAGGAGAAGAGAGAAGGCUAUGCUUUGAUUUGUAAAAUCUGUCUACUGUUUAAGAUGCUACUUUCCUCUGACUAAAGAGUACCAAUGAGUGUUCUUCAUCUCCCUUUCCCAAAUGAGCCCAGAGCUCCUUCCCUCCAGCCUGAUGAAACUUUUCACGCAUUCACCCUUUCAUAUAUCAAGCAUUUACCAAAGACCAACUGAAUGUUGUUAACAGGAAGAAA